AACAGACCGCCGAUGGCCCGGCUCGCCGGGCACAGGCAAGGGUGAAACGGUGCGGUAAGAGCGCACCAGUGCGGCGGGCGACCGUCGCAGCUGGCAACCCCCAUCCGGUGCAAGGCCAAGCAGUAGGUGAUGGGGCUGCCCGUCCCCCGAAACUUCGGUUUCGGCACCUACGGGUCGGCCGCUCAGAUGGAUGAUCACCCAGGGAGACGUCGGCGACGACCUCCCGGACAGAACUCCGCCUAUAGACCGACUCACCAG
Molecule: RNase P RNA, 258 nt
Filed under: Candidatus Neomicrothrix parvicella
Lineage: Bacteria; Bacillati; Actinomycetota; Acidimicrobiia; Acidimicrobiales; Microthrixaceae
Also listed under: 1 other name
Description: partial RNase P RNA component class A
Rfam family: Bacterial RNase P class A
About the family: Ribonuclease P (RNase P) is a ubiquitous endoribonuclease, found in archaea, bacteria and eukarya as well as chloroplasts and mitochondria.
Source: RNAcentral